Molecule: non-coding RNA, 31 nt
Filed under: Rattus norvegicus (Norway rat)
Lineage: Eukaryota; Metazoa; Chordata; Mammalia; Rodentia; Muridae
Source: RNAcentral
UUCCUGUUAAAGGAUUGGUGUUAUUUCCUGC